Molecule: ribosomal RNA, 861 nt
Filed under: Ramularia collo-cygni
Lineage: Eukaryota; Fungi; Ascomycota; Dothideomycetes; Mycosphaerellales; Mycosphaerellaceae
Description: eukaryotic LSU rRNA
Rfam family: Eukaryotic large subunit ribosomal RNA
Source: RNAcentral
AAGCAUAUCAAUAAGCGGAGGAAAAGAAACCAACAGGGAUUGCCCUAGUAACGGCGAGUGAAGCGGCAACAGCUCAAAUUUGAAAUCUGGCGCAAGCCCGAGUUGUAAUUUGUAGAGGAUGCUUCUAGGUAGCGACCGGUCUAAGUUCCUUGGAACAGGACGUCAUAGAGGGUGAGAAUCCCGUAUGUGACCGGCCCGCACCUUCUACGUAGCUCCUUCGAAGAGUCGAGUUGUUUGGGAAUGCAGCUCUAAAUGGGAGGUAAAUUUCUUCUAAAGCUAAAUACCGGCCAGAGACCGAUAGCGCACAAGUAGAGUGAUCGAAAGAUGAAAAGCACUUUGGAAAGAGAGUUAAAAAGCACGUGAAAUUGUUGAAAGGGAAGCGCUUACAACCAGACUUCUGGGCGGUGUUCCGCCGGUCUUUUGACCGGUCUACUCUCCGUCCCGAGGCCAACAUCAUCUGGGACCGCUGGAUAAGACCUUAGGAAUGUAGCUCCCCUCGGGGAGUGUUAUAGCCUCUGGUGAUGCAGCGCGUCCCGGGUGAGGUCCGCGCUUCGGCAAGGAUGUUGGCGUAAUGGUUGUCAGCGGCCCGUCUUGAAACACGGACCAAGGAGUCUAACAUCUAUGCGAGUGUUCGGGUGUCAAACCCCUACGCGUAAUGAAAGUGAACGGAGGUGGGAAGCGCAAGCUGCACCAUCGACCGAUCCUGAUGUCCUCGGAUGGAUUUGAGUAAGAGCAUAGCUGUUGGGACCCGAAAGAUGGUGAACUAUGCCUGAAUAGGGUGAAGCCAGAGGAAACUCUGGUGGAGGCUCGCAGCGGUUCUGACGUGCAAAUCGAUCGUCAAAUUUGGGUAUAGGGGCGAAA